AUCUUUUUGGCAGAUUUUAUGCAAUAAAUUUAGAAUUUAUAGAUAUGAGAUAUUUAAUCAUAAAAGAUA
RNAcentral lists this transfer RNA (69 nucleotides) under Pseudocapillaria tomentosa. RNAcentral describes it as "tRNA-Leu". The record is from RNAcentral. Lineage: Eukaryota; Metazoa; Nematoda; Enoplea; Trichinellida; Capillariidae.